GGACCUGACUGCUAUCGGAUUGAUACUAAGCCAUGUGAGUCUUUGUAGCAAUACAAGGCAGACGGCUCAGUAACGCGUAGCCAACCUACCCUAUGGACAGGGAUAACCUCGGGAAACUGAGGAUAAUACCUGAUAGAUCAUAAUGCCUGGAACGGUUUAUGGUCCAAAUGAUUCGUCGCCGUAGGAUGGGACUGCGGCCUAUCAGCUUGUUGGUGAGGUAAUGGCCCACCAAGGCUAUUACAGGUACGGGCUCUGAGAGGAGAAGCCCGGAGAUGGGUACUGAGACACGGACCCAGGCCCUAUGGGGCGCAGCAGGCGAGAAAACUUUGCAAUGUGCGAAAGCACGACAAGGUUAAUCCGAGUGAUUCCUGCUAAAGGAAUCUUUUGUUAGUCGUAAAACCACUGAUGAAUAAGGGGUGGGCAAGUUCUGGUGU
Molecule: ribosomal RNA, 434 nt
Filed under: uncultured archaeon
Lineage: Archaea
Description: bacterial SSU rRNA
Rfam family: Archaeal small subunit ribosomal RNA
Source: RNAcentral